UGAAAAAUUCGAAUUGUCACAAGGGGGUUAGUUAAGUGAACGGAAAGCAAAGUCUUCGUACUAACAUUAAAGGCUUCGAAGCUAUUCAUAAGAUAUCCUUAAUCUAUAGGGAUAGAAACUAAAGCAAGCCAAACGUUAACUGUGACGCUCCCAAAAUAGGUAUACAACACCCAUUCUGAGUCGUCAAAAUACAUGGUAUAGAAAGCAAACUACAACUUUGACAAUAUAGAUAUCGUGUAGAAUACGACAAUACAACUGUGAGUUUGAAUACAAAUAUUAUCUUCUAGACAAUAUACACACCCAAAUAAGUCCUC
RNAcentral lists this long non-coding RNA (314 nucleotides) under Panax ginseng (ginseng). Its description in RNAcentral is "long non-coding RNA (PGIN_LNC008085)". Lineage: Eukaryota; Viridiplantae; Streptophyta; Magnoliopsida; Apiales; Araliaceae. The record is from RNAcentral.